Pelobates cultripes (western spadefoot toad) is the source of this 418-nucleotide non-coding RNA. Lineage: Eukaryota; Metazoa; Chordata; Amphibia; Anura; Pelobatidae. The record is from the annotation of a GenBank genome assembly.
CCUCGCUGGUGCUGGCCGAGGAGGCAGCGCUGGGAGUCGGGGAGCGCUGCAGGGUGACGAGGGCCAUGGCUGGCGAUCCCGCUCAGGACUGGCUGGGGAAGCCGGUGUGGUGGUCCCGGGGGGAGGAGGGUGGUCCUGCGCCGGUUCCGGUCUGCUCGGAGUCCCACCUGGCUCUAGACACGGCCACCAAGCAUGGCCGGCUGAUUGGUUCCGGAGAUACCGGGAGCGGCAUAUAAGGCCGGGCUGCUCGGGCUCAGUGCGGGUGGAUGGCAGCUCCCGGGGUAGAGAGCCGAUAUCAGGGCUCCUGGGAGACAGUGAGCGCCUCCUGCCGUGACAGGGAUCAGAGAGCGGCCAGUGCUGGGGCCAUCCAGGGACAGGGGCCAGGCCUGGGGGGAGGAAUCACAGCAAGCUUCCUAGC